Molecule: ribosomal RNA, 484 nt
Filed under: uncultured bacterium
Lineage: Bacteria
Description: partial 16S ribosomal RNA
Rfam family: Bacterial small subunit ribosomal RNA
Source: RNAcentral
AUUGAACGCUGGCGGCAGGCCUAACACACGCGAGUCGAGCGGAUGAAGGGAGCUUGCUCCUGGAUUCAGCGGCGGACGGGUGAGUAAUGCCUAGGAAUCUGCCUGGUAGUGGGGGAUAACGUCCGGAAACGGGCGCUAAUAUCGCAUACGUCCUGAGGGAGAAAGUGGGGGAUCUUCGGACCUCACGCUAUCAGAUGAGCCUAGGUCGGAUUAGCUAGUUGGUGGGGUAAAGGCCUACCAAGGCGACGAUCCGUAACUGGUCUGAGAGGAUGAUCAGUCACACUGGAACUGAGACACGGUCCAGACUCCUACGGGAGGCAGCAGUGGGGAAUAUUGGACAAUGGGCGAAAGCCUGAUCCAGCCAUGCCGCGUGUGUGAAGAAGGUCUUCGGAUUGUAAAGCACUUUAAGUUGGGAGGAAGGGCAGUAAGUUAAUACCUUGCUGUUUUGACGUUACCAACAGAAUAAGCACCGGCUAACUUCGUG